Molecule: ribosomal RNA, 468 nt
Filed under: uncultured bacterium
Lineage: Bacteria
Description: partial 16S ribosomal RNA
Rfam family: Bacterial small subunit ribosomal RNA
Source: RNAcentral
GACGAACGCUGGCGGCGGGCUUAACACAUGCAAGUCGAACGGAAAGGCCCUGCUUGUGUGGGUUGCUCGAGUGGCGAACGGGUGAGUAACACGUGAGUAACCUGCCCUUGACUUUGGGAUAACUUCAGGAAACUGGGGCUAAUACCGGAUAGGAGCUCCUGCGGCAUGGUGGGUGUUGGAAAGUUUCGGCGGUUGGGGAUGGACUCGCGGCUUAGCAGCUUGUUGGUGGGGUAGUGGCUUACCAAGGCUUUGACGGGUAGCCGGCCUGAGAGGGUGACCGGGAACAUUGGGAAUGAGAUACGGCCCAGACUACUACGGGAGGCAGCAGUGGGGACUAUUGCACGAUGGGCGGAAGCCUGAUGCAGCAACGCCGCGUGCGGGAUGACGGCCUUCUGGUUGUAAACCGCUUUCGCCUGUGACGAAGCGUGAGUGAAGGUAAUGGGUAAAUAAGCACCGGCUAACUACGUG